This 2870-nucleotide long non-coding RNA is filed under the name Setaria italica (foxtail millet). Its description in RNAcentral is "long non-coding RNA (SITA_LNC005531)". The record is from RNAcentral. Lineage: Eukaryota; Viridiplantae; Streptophyta; Magnoliopsida; Poales; Poaceae.
UUUGACUAUUUUGUUGUUUCACAGGGAACUGGAACUUUUAUAAUAUCUUUUCUCAAUAUGAAUUAUUUGAGUACCACAAUGCUGUUGCAAUUUUGUCUCCUGCACUCAUGACUUCCACUUGGUAGCUUUUGGGUUCCUUAUUAAUUUGUUAAUUCUAUGUAUCUGCUGGAGGCACACACUAACUGAUGAUGCGGCUCCAGUAUGUUAUCAAUGGUAGCUGCUGAAUGCACACACUCUGUGCUAAUUUUCUAAUUAUAUUCCUGUCCAUCUGGUGGAGCUGGAGCUAUCACACCUGAAACUUAGGUCCUGUUUGGCACGGCUCCACUCCUAAACUCCAGCAACUCCAUCAAAAAAUUCAGCCAAACACCCCAACUCCAAAACUCCAUGGAGUUGCCAACUCCAUGGAGCUGUAGUGCAAAUGGAGGUGGAGUUUUGGAGCACCUCUUUUGCUGCUCCAGAAACCUCUCUUUUGAACCUCCUCGUGGAGUUGGUGGGUAAUUACCCACCAAUUCCACUGGUUACACAAAAAAACGUUUCAUUCUAUUCUCUCUUCUAUUCUCUCGAGCCCCACUCGCCGCCAGAGCCCCGCCCGUCGCCGCCCGCCGCCGCCCUCGUCGCCCGUUGCCGCCCGCCACCCGCUGCCCGUCGCCGCCCGCCGCCCGUCGUCGCCCGUCGCCGCACCCGCCGCCCGUCGCCGCCCGCCGCCGCACCCGCCGCCCAUCGCCGCCCGCCGCCGCGCCCGGCGCCCGUCGCCGCCUGUCGUCGCCCGUCGUCGCCCGUUGCCGCCCGCCGCCGCCCGCCGCCUAUCCUCGCACGUCGUCGCCUGUCGCCGCCUGUCGCCGCCCAGCCCGCCGCCCGUCGCCGCCCGCCGCCUCCCGUUGACGCCCGCCGCCGCCCGCCGCCUCCCGUCGACGCCCGCCGCCGCCCGCCGCCGCACCCGUCGCCCGUCGCCGCCCGUCGCCGCCCACCGCCCGCCGUCGAGCCCGCCGCCUACCCCGCCGCCCGUCGCCGCCCAGCCCGCCACCCACCCCGCCGCCCGUGGAGGGUCUCCCGUGUGCAGCGCAGUGCAGUGGAAAAAGGGGAAGAAGAAGAUGGGAUAGAGAGGAUGACAAGUGGGGCCUUAAUUAGGGGGCAACAAUGGCAAUCCACACUGAAAUCGAUCUUGUUUGGAGCUGAGAGCACCAUCUAGCCAAACACCCUAUUUUUUUUCUGGAGUUUUGGAGCGGAGCUGGCUCCAUGUGGAGUUCAGAAGUGGAGCAGUUCCACCCGGAGUUGGAGCCAUGCCAAACAGGACCUUAGGAAGAUGAAUAAGCAAUAAAAGAUUUUAUUCUCAUGUGGUGAGUUUCUACAACUCCAUAUAUAUGUCUACUUGCAGCUUGAUUCUGCGUAUUAGUUGGUGUCAACACUCAACAGUCCAUAUUAUGCUGCUUUUGACAAUUUAUUGUCACUUCAUAAUCAUGGUGGCAUGCUCUGAAGUUGGAGGUUCAGGUGGUAUUCCUAGACAGAAUCCAAUUGAGCCAAACUCCUCGAAAGCAUUGUUGGCAAGGGUACACAUCUGCCUAUCAGAUUUCAUUUUCUCGGUUCUUUCUCGUUUUCAUAUGUGAUAACAUAGUAAAUAAUUCUCUGCAGAGGUGCUGUCAAUCCCACAAGGGGCAGUGCUGCUGGUCAUCCUCACCACGGCUGAUUCCGCCUCCGCGUUCAUGCUGGCCACCACGCAGCAAGGUGAGAGGGUGCUGCAAGCGAUGCCCGUGUUGUGCUCGACAGAUUGUGUCAGCUUGUCAAUGGGAUCAAUUUCUUUGUUUUUGGUAAGUAAGCCCAGCGUUAGAUAAUCUGCAGUUGUGCAAACAGAUUCAUGUAGCCUUAAAAUAUGGAGGCGUUGCUAAAGAACCCAUGCUGCCCCACUGCUGACAAAUGACCGCUGCAGGUCUGUUCAUGAUAAUAUGGGAAGAUAGAUACACGCAUUCUAUUUAACAUACGGAUAUGAGAUGCUAGAUACAUGGUGGUGAACUUGAGUGUUUUUUUUAAAGAAUGCUAUAUGAUGUGUUGGGGUUUGGUACAACAGUUGGUUUCUUUUCUUGGUUUGCCUUAUUUCUUUAUCUUGAAGUAAACUUUUGCCAUUGAUUACACGCCUUUUUUUCUCUUUACCCGCGUGGUACUUUCCUCUUUCUGGUGUUUGAAGAGAACGAUUUUCAGGAAAAUAAGUCUGUCAACAAUAAUGACAACCAGCUGUGUUCCACUAUAUCUAGGAAAUUUAAUUUUCACAUUAAGGAUUUUGAUCUCUCGCAAUGCUCUAGCUAACUCUGUGAAGACAGAUGCCAUUAAUUUCUUUGUUUCAUGACUGUAGAGCUAAUGGCUCGUAUGUAUGGAUCAAGGAAAUUUAAUUGGAAUUGACUUCUCGAAAAUUUGAAGUUCUUUUAUAUAUCUAUGUAUUGCACUUUGCUAAAUCUAAUAUGAAUAUAGAAUUCUUAUUUACUAAGUUACUUAAAAAAAACAUACCUGGCAUAACUCUAAGGUUAAUUUGAUUGAGUUUGGCUUUUUAUUCAAAUAAUGUAGGUUUAUAUGUGGUGCAUCCAUCUUUAUCACUUAUGGAUGAUGAUGAUGAUGAUGAUGUACAAGCGAGGGUGAAAAAAGACAAAGGAGAAGACAGCAUUAGAGGGGAAGAUUAGCAAAGGGGAAAAAGACAAAAGCACCAGAGCCGCAUCUUAUUUUCUUCGCGAGAACUUAAAAGGGAUGAAAGUAAUUGUGCCUCCAUCUAAAUUUAAUAUGAAUAUAAAAUUCUUAUCUACUAUGUUUUUCGAAAACAAGUGCGUGUCCCCACGUGCACUCAGAACAUUAUGUAGCUAUAAGAUCAGGUAGAUUGCGAUGCAUAU